AGCAGCAUGGCCUAGUGGAAACAGCAUGGGCCUGGGAGUCCCAAGGACCUGGGUUCUAAUCCCAGCUCUGCCA
RNAcentral lists this transfer RNA (73 nucleotides) under Ornithorhynchus anatinus (platypus). It matches the Rfam family "tRNA". From Rfam's summary of the family: Transfer RNA (tRNA) molecules are approximately 80 nucleotides in length. Their secondary structure includes four short double-helical elements and three loops (D, anti-codon, and T loops). Lineage: Eukaryota; Metazoa; Chordata; Mammalia; Monotremata; Ornithorhynchidae. The record is from Rfam by way of RNAcentral.